Molecule: ribosomal RNA, 353 nt
Filed under: uncultured bacterium
Lineage: Bacteria
Description: bacterial SSU rRNA
Rfam family: Bacterial small subunit ribosomal RNA
Source: RNAcentral
AGAGUUUGAUCAUGGCUCAGGAUGAACGCUAGCUACAGGCUUAACACAUGCAAGUCGAGGGGAAACGAUAUUGGAAGCUUGCUUCCGAUAGGCGUCGACCGGCGCACGGGUGAGUAACGCGUAUCCAACCUGCCCACCACUUGGGGAUAACCUUGCGAAAGUAAGACUAAUACCCAAUGAUAUCUCUAGAAGACAUCUGAAAGAGAUUAAAGAUUUAUCGGUGAUGGAUGGGGAUGCGUCUGAUUAGCUUGUUGGCGGGGUAACGGCCACCAAGGCGACGAUCAGGUAGGGGUUCUGAGAGGAAGGUCCCCCCANAUUGGAACUGAGACACGGUCCAAACUCCUACGGGAGCA